CUGCGAUUUUUCAGGGUGACUGGGAUGAAGCGGAUCAAAAAACGAAAAAAAUACUUAUCACCAUGAUGACGAGAUCUGUUCAACCAUUGAGUUUGACGGUUGGUCCCUUCUUUGUGGUCAAUUUGGAACUUUUUCUGAAGAUUACUAAAACUGUCUACUCAUUAACCACUCUUUUCUUCUAAACUAGAGACGAAUAGAUUCGACCUUGCAGAAAUACUUGAAAUACAAAUUGAGAAUCAUGCAUUUAUUAUUAUUUAUUGAUUGCACAUUCAGGUUGAUGGAUUAAUUAAAGGAAUUCAAUCAUUACCUACUA
Molecule: long non-coding RNA, 313 nt
Organism: Harmonia axyridis
Lineage: Eukaryota; Metazoa; Arthropoda; Insecta; Coleoptera; Coccinellidae
Exons: 2
Source: RefSeq, a predicted model, not a curated record